This 460-nucleotide ribosomal RNA is filed under the name uncultured bacterium. Its description in RNAcentral is "bacterial SSU rRNA". It matches the Rfam family "Bacterial small subunit ribosomal RNA", at positions 40 to 518 of the family's 1533-position model. The record is from RNAcentral.
CGGCGUGCCUAACACAUGCAAGUCGAGCGAGGAGAUCCUCGGGAUGAUCCUAGCGGCGGACGGGUGAGUAACACGUGGGCAACCUGCCUCAUAGAGAGGAAUAGCCUUCCGAAAGGGAGAUUAAUACCUCAUAACAUUGCAGUUUCGCAUGGAACAGCAAUUAAAGGAGUAAUCCGCUAUGAGAUGGGCCCGCGGCGCAUUAGCUAGUUGGUGAGGUAAUGGCUCACCAAGGCGACGAUGCGUAGCCGACCUGAGAGGGUGAUCGGCCACAUUGGGACUGAGACACGGCCCAGACUCCUACGGGAGGCAGCAGUGGGGAAUAUUGCACAAUGGGGGAAACCCUGAUGCAAGCAACGCCGCGUGAGUGAUGACGGCCUUCGGGUUGUAAAGCUCUGUCUUCAGGGACGAUAAUGACGGUACCUGAGGAGGAAGCCACGGCUAACUACGUGCCAGCAGCCGC